This 460-nucleotide ribosomal RNA is filed under the name uncultured bacterium. Its description in RNAcentral is "partial 16S ribosomal RNA". It matches the Rfam family "Bacterial small subunit ribosomal RNA", at positions 338 to 795 of the family's 1533-position model. The record is from RNAcentral.
CCUACGGGAGGCAGCAGUGAGGAAUAUUGGUCCAUGGACGAGAGUCUGAACCAGCCAAGUAGCGUGAAGGAUGACUGCCCUCUGGGUUGUAAACUUCUUUUAUAUGGGAAUAAAAUGUUCCACGUGUGGGAUUUUGUAUGUACCAUAUGAAUAAGGAUCGGCUAACUCCGUGCCAGCAGCCGCGGUAAUACGGAGGAUCCGAGCGUUAUCCGGAUUUAUUGGGUUUAAAGGGAGCGUAGGUGGAUUGUUAAGUCAGUUGUGAAAGUUUGCGGCUCAACCGUAAAAUUGCAGUUGAAACUGGCAGUCUUGAGUACAGUAGAGGUGGGCGGAAUUCGUGGUGUAGCGGUGAAAUGCUUAGAUAUCACGAAGAACUCCGAUUGCGAAGGCAGUUCACUGGACUGCAACUGACACUGAGGCUCGAAAGUGUGGGUAUCAAACAGGAUUAGAGACCCGAGUAGUC